Sycon ciliatum is the source of this 1486-nucleotide long non-coding RNA. RefSeq lists it as uncharacterized. The record is from RefSeq and is a predicted model, not a curated record. NCBI's taxonomy places the organism in Eukaryota, Metazoa, Porifera, Calcarea, Leucosolenida, Sycettidae. The transcript is spliced from 2 exons.
UGUGUGCGUGCGUGUGUGUGUGCGUGUGUGCGUGCGUGUGUGUGUGUGUGUGUGUGUGUGUGUGUGUGUGUGUGUGUGUGUGUGUGUGUGUGUGUGUGUGUGUGUGUGUGUGCAUGUGUGUACGCGUGCAGUGUUUGACACGACCGCAGCUGAGUUUGGGCUUAAAGUUAGCGCUACCAAGACACAGUUCUUGGUUGCAGGCAGGGAUGUUUCGCCUGGGCACUGCGCUCUAAUCGAGCUAGCUGGCACGGUCAUCAAGUGUGUUUCGGAGUUCCGGUAUCUUGGAUCUUUCAUCCAUCGCGGUGGCCGGUCGACACAGGACAUCACUGCUCGAAUCGUGCAUGCCUCUCGUGCUUGUGGCGCCUUGCAAGGAACCAUCUUCAGCAAUUCUGACCUUAAUUUGCAUAUCAAGAGGUGUGUGUUUAAUGCAUGUGUGUUGUCGCUCCUCCUCUAUGGGUCAGAGUGUUGGACACCAUUGCAGCACGAUCUCCAACGUUUGUCAGUCUUCCAUAUGCGGUGCAUUCGUUCCAUCUUGGGUGUGUCCCGCAGAGAUUGCUGGCAUAAUCACACGACCAACGCCCAACUGUUGGAGAUGUGGGGUGACACUGAUACCAUCUGCGUGAAGGUUGCACAGCGUCGCCUAGAGUGGCUGGGCCAUGUUGCCUGGAUGGACAGUAGCCGGAUGCCGAGACAGAUCCUGUUUGGCUCACUUCCCACACGUCGCCCAGCACAUGACCCUCGCAAGCGCUGGAAGGAUUGUGUUGUCUCCUCACCAAGGAAUGAUAUCCUAUUGCCUGUGAGUCCCGCGCUGACUGGCCGGCUAUGUACGCCGAGCCUGUGGAGAAUGUGCCUCAGCCUGGCCCCGUGGUAUGUGCGGAUUGCAAUCGGUCAUUCUCGCGCCCUGGAGAUCGUGCUCGCCACUAAUGUGUGGUUGAGCGGGCCAAGCCGAUUGCUGAGCAGUGAGGAGCUUGCCACUGUGGAGAUUGUGGGCGUUGAUUUCGAAGCAAGGGUGGUCUAGCUGUUCACCGCUGUUCCGCACCUCAGCCUCAGCCUACCGAGCCCCGGCAAGUCUAUGUACAGGAUGCCUGCUGUGCUGCGCACUGUGCUGUGUGUGCCCGCUGCUUUCGGACUGCACAAGGCCGCGGUCGUCACCGGUGCUCGAGGACUGGCCCGCGCCCGACUGCCCAGCAGCGUAAUUCGUUCAGUCAUGUAUGCGUGUGUUCUCGCCGGUUCCGUUUGCUCCACCAUCUCCGGCGUCAUCAGGCUGCGUGCUCCAUCUUCCUCUCUGAUGCCCCUCCGGUCUCACGUGACCCCUGUGGCAGUGGCUCUACAGGACAGGACAGGACGUGUGCAUACGUGUGUGUGUGUGUGUGUGUGUGUGUGUGUGUGUGUGUGUGUGUGUGUGUGUGUGUGUGUGUGUGUGUGUGUGUGUGUGUGUGUGUGUGUGUGUGUGUGUGUGUGUGUGUGUGUGUGUGUGUGUGUCUCU